This 306-nucleotide unclassified non-coding RNA is filed under the name plant metagenome. Its description in RNAcentral is "partial contains 5.8S ribosomal RNA, internal transcribed spacer 2, and large subunit ribosomal RNA". The stretch from base 1 to 105 matches the Rfam family "5.8S ribosomal RNA", at positions 50 to 154 of the family's 154-position model. The record is from RNAcentral.
GAAAUGCGAUAAGUAGUGUGAAUUGCAGAAUUCAGUGAAUCAUCGGAUCUUUGAACGCACAUUGCGCCCCUUGGUAUUCCAUGGGGCAUGCCUGUUCGAGCGUCAUCUACACCCUCAAGCACUGCUUGGUGUUGGGCGUCUUUGUCCCGCCUCCGCGCGCGGACUCGCCCCAAAUUCAUUGGCAGCGGUCCUUGCCUCCUCUCGCGCAGCACAUUGCGCUUCUCGAGGUGUUGCGGCCCGCGUCCAGAAAGCAAUCGUUACCGUCUUUGACCUCGGAUCAGGUAGGGAUACCCGCUGAACUUAAGC